Molecule: ribosomal RNA, 205 nt
Filed under: uncultured Smithella sp.
Lineage: Bacteria; Pseudomonadati; Thermodesulfobacteriota; Syntrophia; Syntrophales; Smithellaceae
Description: partial 16S ribosomal RNA
Rfam family: Bacterial small subunit ribosomal RNA
Source: RNAcentral
AUGACGUCAAGUCCUCAUGGCCUUUAUGCUUAGGGCUACACACGUGCUACAAUGGGUGGUACAAAGAGAAGCCAACUCGCGAGAGCGAGCAAAUCUCAAAAAGCCAUCCUCAGUUCGGAUUGAAGUCUGCAACUCGACUUCAUGAAGUUGGAAUCGCUAGUAAUCGCGGAUCAGCAUGCCGCGGUCGAAUACGUUCCCGGGCCUU